Molecule: microRNA precursor, 114 nt
Filed under: Caenorhabditis remanei
Lineage: Eukaryota; Metazoa; Nematoda; Chromadorea; Rhabditida; Rhabditidae
Source: RNAcentral
ACUUCUUCAUUCUCCCAGGUGUUUCGAUUAGCCAAUGUCACUACUGUCAUGUAAAUGAAAAGCUCAUGACAGUGGUACAUUGUCUACUUGAACAUGGGGUUGUCUGUGUAUGUC